This 254-nucleotide ribosomal RNA is filed under the name uncultured bacterium. RNAcentral describes it as "partial 16S ribosomal RNA". It matches the Rfam family "Bacterial small subunit ribosomal RNA", at positions 524 to 776 of the family's 1533-position model. The record is from RNAcentral.
UACGUAGGCAGCAAGCGUUGUUCGGAGUUACUGGGCGUAAAGGGUGUGUAGGCGGUUAUUUAAGUUUGGUGUGAAAUCUCCCGGCUCAACCGGGAGGGUGCGCCGAAUACUGAAUGACUUGGAGUGCGGGAGAGGAAAGUGGAAUUCCUGGUGUAGCGGUGAAAUGCGUAGAUAUCAGGAGGAACACCCGUGGCGAAGGCGGCUUCCUGGGGCCAUCCUGACACUGAGAAGCGAAAGCUAGGGGAGCGAACGGG